RNAcentral lists this long non-coding RNA (1061 nucleotides) under Pongo abelii (Sumatran orangutan). Its description in RNAcentral is "bidirectional promoter lncRNA". The record is from RNAcentral. Lineage: Eukaryota; Metazoa; Chordata; Mammalia; Primates; Hominidae.
GCUCCAGGGCGGGCUUGGGAAUGGAGACAAACUCCUCCGGGCCAUUAACGCUCAGCCGGACAGGGCUUAGGAGUCCCGAGCCCAGUCCUGUUCACCCCCAUUUUAUAGAAAGGGAAACUGAGGCCCAGACAGGGGAAAGUCACUUGCCGAGGUGUUUACUGCAGACUGCGUUGACCGAACCUGCUUUUUCACAGCAGUCAGACAGCAAGCCCUGCCGUCCCUCCAGGACCCUAGUUCCUGGCGAGGAAGGCGUUCUCAGCGAUAAUGACCAGCAUUAAAGUGCUCCCCGUUACCGGCGUCACUGCCCCAGCCAGUGGAGGCCCCGGAGAGGAGCUGAAGAUGUGUGACCUAACUUCUCCGAACCUUCCUCCCUCAAGGAGAGCUGAUAAUCCCUAACUCACAGUUCUGUGAGGAUUGAAUGCCUUAAGCAUGCAGGUUAAGUGGCUACUGAACGCAGUUUUUGUGGACAGAAACUGGUGCCAGCGUCAGAUCUGCGAUGCUGCCCAGGCAUGGUGGUGACCCUCUCUAAACAAGCACACUCAGAAUUUCCCUGGCCUCAGCUGGGCGACUCAGAAGAAAAUUGGCCAUCAGCUUCUGCCUCAAGGGGGUGCUGUGGCAAGGAAGACAGAGCAUGUGUGUUGUGAACACUCAUUAGAGGAUCAACCCUACUGUGCCAGGUGCCACGGCGCUGGAUGCAGAGAGCAGGACACAUGGACAGAUGGUGUGUUCACAAAGAAUUUGGAAGAAAGCCAGAUGGUGACAAGAGUGUGUCUCUGAAUGCCCCUUUUGGGGGUCACUAAAAAUGCCCCAGGGUUUUUAGUUGGACCAAUAAGGAGGCUUCAAAGAGAUGGCAUCUGAGCCAGGUUGUGAUACACCUAGGAUGUCAACAGGCAGAAAAAGGGCAGGGACUGGGAGUAAGGAAAGAACGUCUAUUCAAGGCACAACACUGAUUACCAAAGUUUCUAUCAUCCUUAUGUUGACAACAGACAUAAUUUUAACCUUUUGUAUAAGCCAGACUGUGAAGGAUUAUUAGCAGAAUAAAAGCAUCUAUUGGGCCUGGU